AUCCAGCUGACGAGUCUCAAAUAAGAUGAAACGGGCGUCCCGAAU
Molecule: non-coding RNA, 45 nt
Filed under: Schistosoma mansoni
Lineage: Eukaryota; Metazoa; Platyhelminthes; Trematoda; Strigeidida; Schistosomatidae
Source: RNAcentral